Daucus carota subsp. sativus is the source of this 1927-nucleotide RNA transcript. RefSeq lists it as uncharacterized. The transcript is spliced from 3 exons. The record is from RefSeq and is a predicted model, not a curated record. NCBI's taxonomy places the organism in Eukaryota, Viridiplantae, Streptophyta, Magnoliopsida, Apiales, Apiaceae.
ACAAAAGUCAUCAUCAGCCUAACCUAACACAAACACAGCCGCAGCAGAAGAUUGAAGAAGCAUGGAAGAAAAGAAGAGGAGUCUAAUUCUGGCGCAGGUUGUGGUGGGAGAAAAAAGAUCUGAUUAUUAUGUAUUUGAUCUGGAAGCUGAUGAAGUUUUGAAAACUGAAAUUCAAUCUUUGUUGGACCAAGGACAGGGGGACAUGGUGAAGUUGGGAGGAAUGAUGUAUAAUAUUGGCGGUCUAAGACGAAUAGAUGAAUGCCCUCCCCUUGAUGUUAUUCCUUGUGCUGAAGGAGAUCACCACGUCCACUUGGGAGUAUCUUGUUUAGACUUGAAGAAUUUUGAUGAUGCUCCUCUAUCCUCCAAUAAGUGGAGGUGGAAUGAUAUCCCUCCUAUGAAAGAAUUCCGCAUAUACCCGUCUUGUGCUUCCCUUGAUGGUAAAUUAUAUGCCUUUUAUUGUUUAUCAGCAAAGACCCAUAUUGGUGAAGUGUUUGACCCCAGCCUUGGACGCUGGGAACCCUUGCCUCCUCCACCAGAGGAAAUCCCUGCCGGUGGCUCUUUGCUCGUGUCUCCUCGGGUGAUUUCUGAUGAAAAGAGACAUCGCAUUCUUGUGCAUUUUGAUACUACUCAUUCCCUCUAUGCUUAUUAUCCUGAUUUCCAUUCAUGGGAUUGCCUUGUACAAUACUUUAGCCCGUGGUAUCCUGCUACCAUCGCUUUGGUUGAUGAUGUCCUUUUCUUCCAUAUAUAUGAGCGCCGUGAUUGCCUUGCUGCCUUUGAUUUGUUAAGCAAUUCAUGGUUAAAGGUUAAGUAUUCUUCCAACUUUCCUGCUUGGGAUAUGUCUUUUAAUGAAUGGCAGAACAUUCUUCAUUUGGGCGAUGGCAUCUUGUGCUUGGCCAACUCCUGUGCUUCUUUUAGUCCCCCCCCUGUCCACACUAAUAUUCGGUUUGUCAAAUUAAGACUUCAGCGGAUCUCUUCUCAACACCUGCUGCUCGUCACUUUCGUUUCUUCCCAAUGCUUUCGAUUUCAAGGCUACUUGAGAGCCAACAGCUUCUUCCUUCUUUAGGCGAGGAUUCUUCACUAUUAUAUGCUGCAAACUUCAACCGUUGCUGAAGGAGACUCUUCCGGACUAACUCGGCUGCAUGCGGGUUCAUAAUUAAUGGAGGCAUUAAGUGGUUACCAUAUGAAUAGGCCGCCCCCAUCCAAAAUCUAAAUCGUAUAUUGGGGUCCUCUGACAAGAGCUGAUAGACCAGGCUGGCAUUCCAGGAAGUCGAGUGCUGAUCUCAAGUACUCAUUUCCCAUCUUUGACAAUGCAGCGUGAAUUCUCUUUGCAGAGUUCACUAAAGGCUCUGAUAUAAUUUCACCUGCUGUGCCAACUGGGAUGGCUGUAAAGACUACAUUGCCUAGAUAGCCUGGAGGAAGUGGAGGGCUCAGUCUGAAUCAUCCAUCCGUGACCAUGUAAAGAUAUACACACACACACACACACACCGGGAUACAGAAGAGAAGAGGGGUUUUUAAUUAGUUUAUAUUAUUACAAUCCAGGUAGAUGCAAAUAGAGACGUUAGAAGCCACUCUGUCAAACAUACACCCGCCACGUCAGCUUUCCGUCCGGUCAAUCGGUCAAACUAACGGACAUGUCAUUAUCCCUUACUAAAGUGGUGCAAAAGUUAUCCGGAUACCAAAUCUUUCUUACAUCAAGAUAACGGCUCUCCCUUUAGUCGAAGUUACUGAUGCAUUGGUCUUUGAUGAUUUCUGCUUGCUUGCUUCUAAGCUAUAUGUUUUCCGAAUGAUGAUCCGUGGUUUGUAAUAUUGUGACUUUUUUUUUUUGUCAGACUUAUUGUGACUAUUUUAUUGUGACAAUUUUAUGUAACCUGCAUCUUUAAACAAUUUAUGCACCUUGGUCACUACGAUUAGGAGUAAUUUUACAUCA